This 500-nucleotide ribosomal RNA is filed under the name uncultured bacterium. RNAcentral's name for it is "partial 16S ribosomal RNA". It matches the Rfam family "Bacterial small subunit ribosomal RNA", at positions 28 to 523 of the family's 1533-position model. The record is from RNAcentral.
GAUGAACGCUAGCGGCAGGCUUAAUACAUGCAAGUCGUGGGGCAGCAUGAGUAGCAAUACUUGAUGGCGACCGGCAAACGGGUGCGGAACACGUACACAACCUUCCGAUAAGUGGGGAAUAGCCCAGAGAAAUUUGGAUUAAUACCCCGUAACAUAUAGAGUAGGCAUCUUCUUUAUAUUAUAGCUUCGGGGCUUAUUGAUGGGUGUGCGUCUGAUUAGGUAGUUGGCGGGGUAACGGCCCACCAAGCCUACGAUCAGUAGCUGAUGUGAGAGCGUGAUCAGCCACACGGGCACUGAGACACGGGCCCGACGCCUACGGGAGGCAGCAGUAAGGAAUAUUGGACAAUGGGCGAAAGCCUGAUCCAGCCAUGCCGCGUGAAGGAUUCAGGUCCUCUGGAUUGUAAACUUCUUUUAUUUGGGACGAAAAAAGGGAAUUCUUUCCCACUUGACGGUACCAAGUGAAUAAGCACCGGCUAACUCCGUGCCAGCCGCCGCCGUAA